This 2177-nucleotide long non-coding RNA is filed under the name Ananas comosus (pineapple). RNAcentral describes it as "long non-coding RNA (ACOM_LNC004762)". Lineage: Eukaryota; Viridiplantae; Streptophyta; Magnoliopsida; Poales; Bromeliaceae. The record is from RNAcentral.
CAUCCUCGCUCAGGUUCGGCGCCGAAUUCAGGUCACAACACUAAAAGCACACUUUGUCUCCUAAUUCCCCUUCCUCUCUUUUUUUCUUUUUUUCUUUUUUUUUUGGAUGCAGGAGCGCGUUCUCGGGGCCGCGUUGGGGAUCGCGUUCACGGGCUCCAUCCUCUUCCAUCAGCGCCGGGAGAUUUACCGAUCCAUACCCAAGAACAGUUCUUACUCAUAUCAGGUAUCGAUUUCACUAUUCUCCCCUUUUUUUCCGAUUCAAAAUCGAUCAUCAGAUCAGUAAAAACAAAAAAAAAACAAAAAAACGAAAAAAAAAAGAUACAUAAUUCACACAAUUUUGAGGAGCAUGCGUAACUCGUUUCGUAGAUCGCGCAAAUUUGGACGAGGUAUAAUUUUUUUUUUGUUUUUUCCGUAUAAGAUUCGGAAGUUGGUUCAUCAAAUGAGGAGAUGUUUCUCUUUGGAAACAAUACAUUUGCGAAUAGGCUUUUAGUGAUCUUCAUGUCUUAAUUUGUAUGGUAUUCAAAGUUGGUUUUGAUUCGCCGUAUCUUACAAUUGAACUGCAAAGUUGUGUUGCUAGGCAUGGUUUUGUUAGACAAAUUUGUUAUUAUGUAGUUUCACAAUCAACGUAUCCAACAUCUAUAGCAUUUAAAACUCGUCGGUAGCAACAUCUUCUUUAUGAGUUAUCAUCUAAUUAUCAUGUUGAGAAUUCUCUUCAAUGGAUUCUCUCUCUUUUUUUUAACUCUUGUUUGGACAAUAGAUGAAAAUUUUAGCCCACCUCAGGAAAAAAGUAUUUUCGCGUGAGUUACUGUAACUAGUAAGAGUAUUGAACCAUUAGAGGGGAACGAAGAGUACGCACAAGUGCACGCGAUGCCACAUGGCCCCUCUCGAGUGAGAGAAAAAAAAUUGCUAGAAUUUCUUCAGUUAUAUUGUUGAUGUGACAUCACCAACCAAUCAAAUUGUUAUAGAAAAAAUAUUCUUUUUUAUACUUUUCUCUUAAAUAGACGGAUGUGAUUGACUGGUUAGAGAUGAUGUGGUGUGACUGCUACGUAGUAGAAAUCCUCCUCAAGUGACUCCCUAGAGAGGAAGAGUACAAAAAACCAAAGUUAAAAGUGGUAAAUUUCAUUUCAUGUUAUACUACCAAACGCGCAUGUGCGAAUGCAUGUUUAUUAUAGUGAGGUUGUAAGCAGGGUUUGAGCAGUUACAUGCAAAGAAGUUCCCUUUUGUUAAAUAUUUACAAGCGAAGCAGUUGAGUUUCUUUUCGUUUGGAGUUUGGACACUGUGGGUUGUGCAAUAUUUCCUUGAUUUUCUACUUUCCAGAUAAAUCAUCUGAAGCUAAAAUGAUGUUCAGAAGUGUAGAUAGUAAGCAAGCCAGCUGCUGAAAUCAACUUAGUUACCAGUUAGUUGUAAUUAAAUUCGUGCAUGCGUGCGUUCAACAUAGUGCAUUACCUUUUAUUCUUCUACGUUUUGUUAUUGUGAUCUCGAACUCUAUAAGUUGAUGACAUGUAAGUGGAUUUUCUUUGCAGUAUAAAGAAUUAACACAUGGAAAGAACUCUACGGAUCUUGCUCGAAUGUGGAACAAGGCCAUCGAUGGUACGCUCGGACAACUAGUCCUGUUUCUUAGCUCGCGUGGCUGGUAACAAGCUCGGCGUCCAUUUUUCCAAACUUACCAAGAUGCCGAUGACCGUUAUUUCUUUUGGCUCCACUAUCUGUGUUUUGCUCGAGUCCCUAUGACCUAAUCUUUUUCAUGUGAUUGUUAUAGUAUGACACAUUGUUCUGUAUGAUUUUUUCAAAUACAUGGUGAUAUUUGCAGUUAAUCUUUUUCAUCCAAGUGAUUGGUAUAAUAAAUUCUGGAUUCUAUUAAAGGGUUGUGUUUUAUGAAUCGAUGGUUUAUACGUAGAAAUGGUAGAGAUUUUUAUUGUCAUUUCCUGUAAUUUCAGUGUAGAUUUUCGAGACCUCAAACUUUUGUAAGUAUGCAUCUGUACUUGCAUGCACCGCGAAUGUAUUAGCUCUCCAUCUAAUCUCUUAUUUUUUUACGCAACCAUUCAUUUCUCUGAGUAGAGAAAAGAUUGCUACUCAGUGUACGGUGUAGAUUGAUAGAUGAUAUGGGAUCGACGGCGGAUUGAAGUGUGUUGUAUGUAUGUAUGUACAGGUGCAUCAUCUGUAAGCAAUAAGGGGGG